AUUGAACGCUGGCGGCAGGCUUAACACAUGCAAGUCGAGCGGAGAUGAGGUGCUUGCACCUUAUCUUAGCGGCGGACGGGUGAGUAAUGCUUAGGAAUCUGCCUAUUAGUGGGGGACAACAUACCGAAAGGAAUGCUAAUACCGCAUACGUCCUACGGGAGAAAGCAGGGGAUCUUCGGACCUUGCGCUAAUAGAUGAGCCUAAGUCGGAUUAGCUAGUUGGUGGGGUAAAGGCCUACCAAGGCGACGAUCUGUAGCGGGUCUGAGAGGAUGAGCCGCCACACCGGGACUGAGACACGGCCCAGACUCCUACGGGAGGCAGCAGUGGGGAAUAUUGGACAAUGGGGGAACCCUGAUCCAGCCAUGCCGCGUGUGUGAAGAAGGCCUUAUGGUUGUAAAGCACUUUAAGCGAGGAGGAGGCUACUGAGACUAAUACUCUCGGAUAGUGGACGUUACUCGCAGAAUAAGCACCGGCUAACUCUGUGCCAGCCGCCGCUGUAA
Molecule: ribosomal RNA, 500 nt
Filed under: uncultured bacterium
Lineage: Bacteria
Description: partial 16S ribosomal RNA
Rfam family: Bacterial small subunit ribosomal RNA
Source: RNAcentral